Non-coding RNA from Pelobates cultripes (western spadefoot toad), 1372 nucleotides. Lineage: Eukaryota; Metazoa; Chordata; Amphibia; Anura; Pelobatidae. The record is from the annotation of a GenBank genome assembly.
CUCACUGUGAAAAUCACAGUGAGAGCACGUAAGUGUCCAUAGGAAAGCAUUGAUAAUGCUUUCCUAUGUGACCGGCUGAAUGCGCACACAGCUCUUGCCGCGUGUGCGCAUUCAGCCGAAUAAGAGGAGGAGAGCUCCCCGCCCAGCGCUGGAGAAAGGUAAAUUUUUACCCCCUUCCAGAGCCGGGUGGGAGGGCACUAUAGUGCCAGGAAAACAAGUAUGUAUUCCUGGCACUAUAGUGGUCCUUUAAUGAGGUACUGAUUAGGUGAUCACCUGAACCAAAAUCUUAUUUAAAUGGAUUCUAUAGUGUUAGGAAUACAAAUCUGUACUCUUAAUGCUAUAGUGCCCCAUGCCCCCUCCCCCCCCCCAGUAUAGAAAGGUUAAUGGUUAGAAAAAAACUUUAUUUUUCAAACCCGACACCAGCACCUGUGAGGAUCGUCGCUACGCCUUUAACGUAAUCCUAUGGGUGGGGGGACCUAACAGGAGCCUCAAUGCUUUCCUAUGGAGAUUUCACUGACAGUGGGUGUCCUCAUGUAGAGCGUCAGGACAUCCAGCUUUGUUUAAGUGACUUAGAGUUCGUUAGAAUCACAGAAGCGAUCUUAGUGGCUGUGCAUAGUAAUUAUUGCAGUUUCGCAAGAAUUGCAAUGUUUUACAUUCCAGGACAAAGUGGGACAGGGACACUGCACCCAGACCACUUCAAUGAGCUGAAGUAAUCUGGGUGCCUAUAACGUCCCUUUAAUGAGCAAAAGAACUGGCUGGAUGGAAAAAACAGUGUUAGUAGUACCACAGUAUUUAGAAUAACAAAAAUGUCUACUGACCAUGAAAAAGAUGGAAAGAAAGGUCUUGAGUGAGGAAAAGAUGGGUUUAAUUUUAAUUUUACUGGCAUUGGGAAACAGAGAGCCAGGUUUCUUCCAUCCUUGAUAUUUCAAAGACCGCAGUUCUUAAGAACAAAGUCAAGCAGCAGCAUUGGGGAUAACAGUGGUACAGACCUGCAUAGGGCAAAAAAGACUACGCUGACCGGAAUGACUGCCAACUUAUUCAAAUGUGACACAGCAACCAUAGGAUGACAUCAAGUCACCAACAAAAAGAAUGACAAAUCGCAGCUAGGGUGAAGUGCACUAUGAGGGUGAAUUGAAGUUGUGGAAGACUAGAAGAAAAGCCCUUGGUAAAUAAGAAGCAAAAAGAGCCAUUCUGAGGUUCAACCAUCGACUGUUGGAAUAAAGUCAUAUUCUCAGAUGAGUCCAAUUUCCUGCUUUGCCCUUAACAUUGUCGUCUAAUGGUUAAACCCAGGCCUGGAGAGGCCUACAAGCCACAGUGUUUUGUGGGAGGAUUGGUGAUGUUUUAAGUGGGAUUCAGCAUGCUGGAAUUGGGC